AGCGGAUGAGAGGAGCUUGCUCCUGGAUUCAGCGGCGGACGGGUGAGUAAUGCCUAGGAAUCUGCCUGGUAGUGGGGGACAACGUUUCGAAAGGAACGCUAAUACCGCAUACGUCCUACGGGAGAAAGCAGGGGACCUUCGGGCCUUGCGCUAUCAGAUGAGCCUAGGUCGGAUUAGCUAGUUGGUGAGGUAAUGGCUCACCAAGGCGACGAUCCGUAACUGGUCUGAGAGGAUGAUCAGUCACACUGGAACUGAGACACGGUCCAGACUCCUACGGGAGGCAGCAGUGGGGAAUAUUGGACAAUGGGCGAAAGCCUGAUCCAGCCAUGCCGCGUGUGUGAAGAAGGUCUUCGGAUUGUAAAGCACUUUAAGUUGGGAGGAAGGGUUGUAGAUUAAUACUCUGCAAUUUUGACGUUACCGACAGAAUAAGCACCGGCUAACUCUGUGCCAGCAGCCGCGGUAAUACAGAGGGUGCAAGCGUUAAUCGGAAUUACUGGGCGUAAAGCGCGCGUAGGUGGUUUGUUAAGUUGGAUGUGAAAUCCCCGGGCUCAACCUGGGAACUGCAUCCAAAACUGGCAAGCUAGAGUAUGGUAGAGGGUGGUGGAAUUUCCUGUGUAGCGGUGAAAUGCGUAGAUAUAGGAAGGAACACCAGUGGCGAAGGCGACCACCUGGACUGAUACUGACACUGAGGUGCGAAAGCGUGGGGAGCAAAC
This 713-nucleotide ribosomal RNA is filed under the name Pseudomonas clemancea. RNAcentral's name for it is "bacterial SSU rRNA". It matches the Rfam family "Bacterial small subunit ribosomal RNA", at positions 65 to 773 of the family's 1533-position model. The record is from RNAcentral. Lineage: Bacteria; Pseudomonadati; Pseudomonadota; Gammaproteobacteria; Pseudomonadales; Pseudomonadaceae.